GUUCAUGACAUUUUCAAUCAAUUCUAACCUUCAAUUGUAGACAUGAUCGCACUACGCAUUUUAUUCGCAUUGUUCGCAAUGAUGAUAGUGAUGUCAGCCCUACCUCAAGCUGAUGGGUGUCGCACGUUCAAGGAUUGCAAACCCGACCAGUUUUGCAACUCUCUAAAGAAAUGUCAGAAGAGAGUCUUCUAACAAUUUGUCAGUUUUGUCUCUGAUCAUGAAUUAGCAAUCGAAGCAUAAUAUCUGCAUUAAACUAAAAGCAAAGA
Long non-coding RNA from Macrosteles quadrilineatus (aster leafhopper), 266 nucleotides. RefSeq lists it as uncharacterized. The transcript has 2 exons. The record is from RefSeq and is a predicted model, not a curated record. NCBI's taxonomy places the organism in Eukaryota, Metazoa, Arthropoda, Insecta, Hemiptera, Cicadellidae.